GAAAGAUGGCAGAGUGGUCUAUUGCGUCGGUCUUGAAAACCGAAGUACGGAAACGUACCGGGGGUUCGAAUCCCUCUCUUUCC
RNAcentral lists this transfer RNA (83 nucleotides) under bovine gut metagenome. It matches the Rfam family "tRNA". From Rfam's summary of the family: Transfer RNA (tRNA) molecules are approximately 80 nucleotides in length. Their secondary structure includes four short double-helical elements and three loops (D, anti-codon, and T loops). The record is from RNAcentral.